CGGACCGGCGCACGGGUGAGUAACGCGUAUGCAACCUGCCUGAUACCGGGGUAUAGCCCAUGGAAACGUGGAUUAACACCCCAUAGUACUUUUAUCCUGCAUGGGAUGUGAGUUAAGUGUUCAAGGUAUCGGAUGGGCAUGCGUCCUAUUAGUUAGUUGGCGGGGUAACAGCCCACCAAGACGAUGAUAGGUAGGGGUUCUGAGAGGAAGGUCCCCCACAUUGGAACUGAGACACGGUCCAA
Molecule: ribosomal RNA, 242 nt
Filed under: uncultured bacterium
Lineage: Bacteria
Description: partial 16S ribosomal RNA
Rfam family: Bacterial small subunit ribosomal RNA
Source: RNAcentral